AGUGAACGCUGGCGGUAGGCCUAACACAUGCAAGUCGAACGGCAGCACAGUAAGAGCUUGCUCUUACGGGUGGCGAGUGGCGGACGGGUGAGGAAUACAUCGGAAUCUACUUUUUCGUGGGGGAUAACGUAGGGAAACUUACGCUAAUACCGCAUACGACCUACGGGUGAAAGCAGGGGAUCUUCGGACCUUGCGCGAUUGAAUGAGCCGAUGUCGGAUUAGCUAGUUGGCGGGGUAAAGGCCCACCAAGGCGACGAUCCGUAGCUGGUCUGAGAGGAUGAACAGCCACACUGGAACAGAGACACGGUCCAGACUCCUACGGGAGGCAGCAGUGGGGAAUAUUGGACAAUGGGCGCAAGCCUGAUCCAGCCAUACCGCGUGGGUGAAGAAGGCCUUCGGGUUGUAAAGCCCUUUUGUUGGGAAAGAAAAGCAGCAGGUUAAUACCCCGCUGUUCUGACGGUACCCAAAGAAUAAGCACCGGCUAACUUCGUG
RNAcentral lists this ribosomal RNA (492 nucleotides) under uncultured bacterium. Its description in RNAcentral is "partial 16S ribosomal RNA". It matches the Rfam family "Bacterial small subunit ribosomal RNA", at positions 29 to 507 of the family's 1533-position model. The record is from RNAcentral.